UUCCAUUUGUCUCGAACUGGCCCUCGUGCCGCCGUCUUCUAGCCGAGUAGGGGUUUUUGUGACUGAAACUCAUCCCCCACGAACCCUCUUAGCACUGCCCUGUUUCGGCGAUAGAAUAGCCGAGCGAGUUGUCUCCGAUUCUUGAGUUUUUUUGUGUGCAACUGAGUCGAUUUGUUUGAUGUUGAGCAGUUCCAUGUGUUCGCUCGGGUCUAGGUCCGGGCUCGAGUCCUAAGAAGUGGCCAGCGUCGUUCUCCUCACUUCUUGCCCACCACGUGCUUGACGAAAUGCUUGAACCGAACCUGUGUAGACCUCUCUUUGUGCUGUGCAUUCUAGCCGACUGCCAUGCGUUCGUGAUAAUGCCUAAACAGAGCUGCGUCCUUGUUCGAAGAGGGUCUUUUGAAUCAAAACAUCUAAAUUUUAUAGAAAAAUUAUAACUUUCGACUUCAGAUCAUUCAGUUCGCGUUUGUUUACCUGAGAUUUGAGUUUGCGGUUAUACAUUUUUAUGUCUAGAGAUCGAAUGUGUCAGUUUGUCGAUCCAUGAGUGUUCUCUUUUUACUGGGAAAAGAGCGUGUGCAUAUGAGAGGAGAAGUUGGCAUUGAAGUGGCCGUGAGUUGUGAGCAAUGGGCUUGGUAGGUUUAAUGAGAUUUGGGUUUUUGGUUGAUUGAGAGAGCUUGGGUUGGUGUGGGCUCAAACAGAUUCUAGGCCUUAGUUUUAGACGUAGGGGCAGCUUGGUAUUCUGCUUCUUGGCCGAGAGAGAGAUCGGAGAAAGAGGAAGCAACCGAGAGAGAGCGAGCCUUGAAUGAGAGGGAGGGAGAGGAACGUUGGCUCAGUAACACCUAGUGAAGCCCACUCUUCCCGACUGGCUGAGCGACUGCAGCCGGCGACACCACACCCACGAGCGCUGGUUGUGCUCGACUCGUUGGCUCCAGUGGCUUAUGCACCCCCUGCAGUGUAUGCUUCUAUGCACUGAUGAGUGUGAGUGAGUGUUUCAAAGCAAUUGAAAGCAAAUUUUUAGUGUUUGUAAUAUUGAGAAGUUGGAGCGAAUUUUUAACUCUUUUGAUUCCUCCGUGUUUCUUGAGCGAAAUGCAGUUAGGUUCAUGUAUGACUUUUCGCAUAAUUCUGAAGAAGUGAUAAAAGCAGUGUUUUAACCGA
Molecule: long non-coding RNA, 1152 nt
Organism: Eucalyptus grandis
Lineage: Eukaryota; Viridiplantae; Streptophyta; Magnoliopsida; Myrtales; Myrtaceae
Exons: 2
Source: RefSeq, a predicted model, not a curated record